GACGUAGGGCGCGAGCGUUGUCCGGAUUUAUUGGGCGUAAAGAGCUCGUAGGCGGCUUGUCGCGUCGUCCGUGAAAAUCCGGGGCUCAACCCCGGACUUGCAGUGGGUACGGGCAGACUAGAGUGUGGUAGGGGAGACUGGAAUUCCUGGUGUAGCGGUGAAAUGCGUAGAGAUCAGGAGGAACACCCGUGGCGAAGGCGGCACGCUGGGCCGGCCCUGACGCUGAGGCGCGAAAGCGUGGGGAGCGAACGGG
RNAcentral lists this ribosomal RNA (253 nucleotides) under uncultured bacterium. RNAcentral describes it as "partial 16S ribosomal RNA". It matches the Rfam family "Bacterial small subunit ribosomal RNA", at positions 524 to 776 of the family's 1533-position model. The record is from RNAcentral.